AUACGGAGGAUCCGAGCGUUAUCCGGAUUUAUUGGGUUUAAAGGGAGCGUAGGCGGACGCUUAAGUCAGUUGUGAAAGUUUGCGGCUCAACCGUAAAAUUGCAGUUGAUACUGGGUGUCUUGAGUACAGUAGAGGCAGGCGGAAUUUGUGGUGUAGUGGUGAAAUGCUUAGAUAUUACGAAGAACUCCGAUUGCGAAGGCAGCCUGCUGGACUGUAACUGACGCUGAUGCUCGAAAGUGUGGGUAUCAAACAGGAUUAGAUACCCUGGUAGUCCACACAGUAAACGAUGAAUACUCGCUGUUUGCGAUAUACAGUAAGCGGCCAAGCGAAAGCGUUAAGUAUUCCACCUGGGGAGUACGCCGGCAACGGUGAAACUUAAAGGAAUUGACGGGG
RNAcentral lists this ribosomal RNA (393 nucleotides) under uncultured bacterium. Its description in RNAcentral is "partial 16S ribosomal RNA". It matches the Rfam family "Bacterial small subunit ribosomal RNA", at positions 523 to 918 of the family's 1533-position model. The record is from RNAcentral.